This 836-nucleotide ribosomal RNA is filed under the name Streptomyces sp. Its description in RNAcentral is "bacterial SSU rRNA". It matches the Rfam family "Bacterial small subunit ribosomal RNA", at positions 73 to 919 of the family's 1533-position model. Lineage: Bacteria; Bacillati; Actinomycetota; Actinomycetes; Kitasatosporales; Streptomycetaceae. The record is from RNAcentral.
ACCUCCUUCGGGAGGGGAUUAGUGGCGAACGGGUGAGUAACACGUGGGCAAUCUGCCCUGCACUCUGGGACAAGCCCUGGAAACGGGGUCUAAUACCGGAUACUGAUCAUCUUGGGCAUCCUUGGUGAUCGAAAGCUCCGGCGGUGCAGGAUGAGCCCGCGGCCUAUCAGCUUGUUGGUGAGGUAAUGGCUCACCAAGGCGACGACGGGUAGCCGGCCUGAGAGGGCGACCGGCCACACUGGGACUGAGACACGGCCCAGACUCCUACGGGAGGCAGCAGUGGGGAAUAUUGCACAAUGGGCGCAAGCCUGAUGCAGCGACGCCGCGUGAGGGAUGACGGCCUUCGGGUUGUAAACCUCUUUCAGCAGGGAAGAAGCGAAAGUGACGGUACCUGCAGAAGAAGCGCCGGCUAACUACGUGCCAGCAGCCGCGGUAAUACGUAGGGCGCGAGCGUUGUCCGGAAUUAUUGGGCGUAAAGAGCUCGUAGGCGGCUUGUCACGUCGGUUGUGAAAGCCCGGGGCUUAACCCCGGGUCUGCAGUCGAUACGGGCAGGCUAGAGUUCGGUAGGGGAGAUCGGAAUUCCUGGUGUAGCGGUGAAAUGCGCAGAUAUCAGGAGGAACACCGGUGGCGAAGGCGGAUCUCUGGGCCGAUACUGACGCUGAGGAGCGAAAGCGUGGGGAGCGAACAGGAUUAGAUACCCUGGUAGUCCACGCCGUAAACGGUGGGCACUAGGUGUGGGCGACAUUCCACGUCGUCCGUGCCGCAGCUAACGCAUUAAGUGCCCCGCCUGGGGGAGUACGGGCCGCAAGGCUAAAACUCAAAGGAAUUGACGGGGG